UUAAGUUAAUAAGGGCGCACGGUGGAUGCCUUGGCACUAGAAGCCGAAGAAGGACGUGACAAACGACGAAAUGCUUUGGGGAGCUGUAAGUAAGCGCUGAUCCAGAGAUGUCCGAAUGGGGGAACCCACUAACUAAUGGUUAGUAUCCAUAACUGUUAAGGUUAUGAGAAGGAAGACGCAGUGAACUGAAACAUCUAAGUAGCUGCAGGAAGAGAAAGCAAACGCGAUUGCCUUAGUAGCGGCGAGCGAAACGGCAGGGGGGCAAACCGAAGGGUUUACACUUCGGGGGUGUAGGACUGCGACGUGGGACUUUAAAAGGAUAGAAGAAUUACCUGGGAAGGUAAGCCAAAGAGAGUAAAAGCCUCGUAUUUAAAAUUCUUUUGANGCGCUGAUCCAGAGAUGUCCGAAUGGGGGAACCCACUAACUAAUGGUUAGUAUCCAUAACUGUUAAGGUUAUGAGAAGGAAGACGCAGUGAACUGAAACAUCUAAGUAGCUGCAGGAAGAGAAAGCAAACGCGAUUGCCUUAGUAGCGGCGAGCGAAACGGCAGGAGGGCAAACCGAAGUGUUUACACUUCGGGGUUGUAGGACUGCGACGUGGGACUUUAAAAGGAUAGAAGAAUUACCUGGGAAGGUAAGCCAAAGAGAGUAAAAGCCUCGUAUUUAAAAUUCUUUUGAGCCCUAGCAGUAUCCUGAGUACGGCGAGACACGUGAAAUCUCGUUGGAAUCUGGGAGGACCAUCUCCCAACCCUAAAUACUCUCUAGUGACCGAUAGUGAACCAGUACCGUGAGGGAAAGGUGAAAAGCACCCCGGGAGGGGAGUGAAAUAGAACCUGAAACCGUGUGCCUACAACAAGUUCGAGCCCGUUAAUGGGUGAGAGCGUGCCUUUUGUAGAAUGAACCGGCGAGUUACGAUAUGAUGCGAGGUUAAGUUGAAGAGACGGAGCCGUAGGGAAACCGAGUCUUAAUAGGGCGAUUUAGUAUCAUGUUGUAGACCCGAAACCAUGUGACCUACCCAUGAGCAGGUUGAAGGUGAGGUAAAACUCACUGGAGGACCGAACCAGGGCACGUUGAAAAGUGCUUGGAUGACUUGUGGGUAGCGGAGAAAUUCCAAACGAACUUGGAGAUAGCUGGUUCUCUCCGAAAUAGCUUUAGGGCUAGCGUCGAUGUUAAGUCUCUUGGAGGUAGAGCACUGUUUGGGUGAGGGGUCCAUCUCGGAUUACCAAUCUCAGAUAAACUCCGAAUGCCAACGAGAUAUCAUCGGCAGUCAGACUGCGAGUGCUAAGAUCCGUAGUCGAAAGGGAAACAGCCCAGACCACCAGCUAAGGUCCCAAAAUAACUGUUAAGUGGAAAAGGAUGUGGGGUUGCACAGACAACUAGGAUGUUAGCUUAGAAGCAGCUAUUCAUUCAAAGAGUGCGUAAUAGCUCACUAGUCGAGUGACCCUGCGCCGAAAAUGUACCGGGGCUAAAACAGUUUACCGAAGCUGUGGAUGACACAAAAGUGUCAUGGUAGGAGAGCGUUCUAUGUGUGAAGAAGGUGUACCGUGAGGAGCGCUGGAACGCAUAGAAGUGAGAAUGCCGGUAUGAGUAGCGAAAGACAGGUGAGAAUCCUGUCCACCGUAAGACUAAGGUUUCCAGGGGAAGGCUCGUCCGCCCUGGGUUAGUCGGGACCUAAGGAGAGACCGAAAGGUGUAUCCGAUGGCCAACAGGUUGAUAUUCCUGUACUAGAGUAUAUAGUGAUGGAGGGACGCAGUAGGCUAACUAAACCGGACGAUUGGAAGAGUCCGGCUAAGCAGUGAGGUGUAAGAUGAGUCAAAUGCUUAUCUUUAUAACAUUGAGCUGUGAUGGGGAGCGAAUUUUAGUAGCGAAGUUAGUGAUGUCACACUGCCAAGAAAAGCUUCUAGCGUUUAAUGAUACUCUACCCGUACCGCAAACCGACACAGGUAGUCGAGGCGAGUAGCCUCAGGUGAUCGAGAGAACUCUCGUUAAGGAACUCGGCAAAAUGACCCCGUAACUUCGGGAGAAGGGGUGCUGACUUAGGUCAGCCGCAGUGAAUAGGCCCAAGCAACUGUUUAUCAAAAACACAGCUCUCUGCUAAAUCGUAAGAUGAUGUAUAGGGGGUGACGCCUGCCCGGUGCUGGAAGGUUAAGAGGAGGGUUUAGCGCAAGCGAAGAUCUGAAUUGAAGCCCCAGUAAACGGCGGCCGUAACUAUAACGGUCCUAAGGUAGCGAAAUUCCUUGUCGGGUAAGUUCCGACCCGCACGAAAGGCGUAAUGAUUUGGGCACUGUCUCAACGAGAGACUCGGUGAAAUUUUAGUACCUGUGAAGAUGCAGGUUACCCGCGACAGGACGGAAAGACCCCAUGGAGCUUUACUGCAGUUUGAUAUUGAGUAUCUGUACCACAUGUACAGGAUAGGUAGGAGCCAUUGACUUCGGGACGCCAGUUUCGAAUGAGGCGUUGUUGGGAUACUACCCUUGUGUUAUGGCUACUCUAACCCAGAUAGGUUAUCCCUAUCGGAGACAGUGUCUGACGGGCAGUUUGACUGGGGCGGUCGCCUCCUAAAGAGUAACGGAGGCGCCCAAAGGUUCCCUCAGAUUGGUUGGAAAUCAAUCGCAGAGUGUAAAGGUAUAAGGGAGCUUGACUGCGAGAGCUACAACUCGAGCAGGGACGAAAGUCGGGCUUAGUGAUCCGGUGGUACCGAAUGGAAGGGCCAUCGCUCAACGGAUAAAAGCUACCCUGGGGAUAACAGGCUUAUCUCCCCCAAGAGUUCACAUCGACGGGGAGGUUUGGCACCUCGAUGUCGGCUCGUCGCAUCCUGGGGCUGUAGUCGGUCCCAAGGGUUGGGCUGUUCGCCCAUUAAAGCGGCACGCGAGCUGGGUUCAGAACGUCGUGAGACAGUUCGGUCCCUAUCCGUCGCGGGCGUAGGAAAUUUGAGAGGAUCUGCUCCUAGUACGAGAGGACCAGAGUGGACUUACCGCUGGUGUACCAGUUGUCUUGCCAAAGGCAUCGCUGGGUAGCUAUGUAGGGAAGGGAUAAGCGCUGAAAGCAUCUAAGUGCGAAGCCCCCCUCAAGAUGAGAUUUCCCAUGAUUUUAUAUCAGUAAGAGCCCUGAGAGAUGAUCAGGUAGAUAGGUUAGGAGUGUAAGUGUAGCGAUACAUGUAGCGGACUAAUACUAAUAGCUCGAGGACUUAUCCAA
Molecule: ribosomal RNA, 3193 nt
Filed under: Streptococcus pyogenes
Lineage: Bacteria; Bacillati; Bacillota; Bacilli; Lactobacillales; Streptococcaceae
Description: 23S ribosomal RNA
Rfam family: Bacterial large subunit ribosomal RNA
Source: RNAcentral